GAGUCUUGGAGGUAGAGCACUGAUUGAAUAAGGGGCCCCCACAGGGUUACCGAGUUCAGUCAAACUCCGAAUGCCAACGACUUAGCCUCGGGAGUCAGACGGCGAGUGAUAAGAUCCGUCGUCGAAAGGGAAACAGCCCAGACCACCAGCUAAGGUCCCAAAGUAUACGUUAAGUGGCAAAGGAUGUGGCGUUGCACAGACAACCAGGAUGUUGGCUCAGAAGCAGCCACCAUUUAAAGAGUGCGUAAUAGCUCACUGGUCGAGUGGCGCCGCGCCGAAAAUGUAACGGGGCUAAACGUAUCACCGAAGCUGUGGAUGACCUUACGGUCAUGGUAGGGGAGCGUUCUAAGGGCGGUGAAGGUAGACUGGAAGGUCUAUUGGAGCGCUUAGAAGUGAGAAUGCCGGUAUGAGUAACGAAAAGAGGGGUGAGAAUCCCCUCCGUCGAAAGCCUAAGGGUUCCUGAGGAAGGUUCGUCCGCUCAGGGUUAGUCGGGACCUAAGCCGAGGCCGAAAGGCGUAGGCGAUGGACAACAGGUUGAUAUUCCUGUACUACCAUCAGACGUUUGAGUGAUGGGGGGACGCAGGAAGGUAGGACCAGCGUGCGACUGGAUGUGCACGUUCAAGCAGUUAGGCUGACUAUGAGGGAAAUCCCAUAGUCGUGAAGGCUGAGCUGUGAUGAGGAGGGAAAUUUAGUACCGAAGGGUCUGAUCCUACACUGCCAAGAAAAGCCUCUAGCGAGUCUGUAUGGUACCCGUACCCCAAACCGACACAGGUAGGCGAGAAGAGAAUUCUAAGACGCUCGGGAGAACUCUCGUUAAGGAACUCGGCAAAAUGACCCCGUAACUUCGGGAGAAGGGGUGCUCAUUCGGGCUUUGGCCCGAUGUGAGCCGCAGUGAAAAGAUCCAAGCGACUGUUUACCAAAAACACAGGUCUCUGCGAAACCGUAAGGUGAUGUAUAGGGGCUGACACCUGCCCGGUGCUGGAAGGUUAAGAGGAGAGGUUAUCCCUUAGGGGAGAAGCUUUGAAUUGAAGCCCCAGUAAACGGCGGCCGUAACUAUAACGGUCCUAAGGUAGCGAAAUUCCUUGUCGGGUAAGUUCCGACCCGCACGAAAGGUGUAACGAUUUGGAUACUGUCUCAACGAGAGACCCGGUGAAAUUAUAGUACCUGUGAAGAUGCAGGUUACCCGCGACAGGACGGAAAGACCCCAUGGAGCUUUACUGCAGCUUGAUAUUGGAUGUUGGUAUCGUUUGUACAGGAUAGGUAGGAGCCUUUGAAGCCGGACCGCCAGGUUCGGUGGAGGCAUCGGUGGGAUACUACCCUGACGGUACUGACAUUCUAACCCUGGACCGUGAUCCGGUUCGGAGACAGUGUCAGGUGGGCAGUUUGACUGGGGCGGUCGCCUCCUAAAAUGUAACGGAGGCGCCCAAAGGUUCCCUCAGAAUGGUUGGAAAUCAUUCGCAGAGUGUAAAGGCACAAGGGAGCUUGACUGCGAGACUUACAAGUCGAGCAGGGACGAAAGUCGGGCUUAGUGAUCCGGUGGCACCGCAUGGAAGGGCCAUCGCUCAACGGAUAAAAGCUACCCUGGGGAUAACAGGCUUAUCUCCCCCAAGAGUCCACAUCGACGGGGAGGUUUGGCACCUCGAUGUCGGCUCAUCGCAUCCUGGGGCUGAAGUAGGUCCCAAGGGUUGGGCUGUUCGCCCAUUAAAGCGGUACGCGAGCUGGGUUCAGAACGUCGUGAGACAGUUCGGUCCCUAUCCGUCGCGGGCGUUGGAAGUUUGAGAGGAGCUGUCCUUAGUACGAGAGGACCGGGAUGGACACACCGCUGGUGUACCAGUUGUUCCGCCAGGAGCAUCGCUGGGUAGCUAUGUGUGGAAGGGAUAAGUGCUGAAAGCAUCUAAGCAUGAAGCCCCCCUCAAGAUGAGAUUUCCCAUAACUUUAAGUUAGUAAGACCCCUUAGAGAUGAUGAGGUUGAUAGGUCUGAGGUGGACGCGUGGUGACACGUGAAGCUGACAGAUACUAAUCGGUCGAGGACUUAACCAA
Molecule: ribosomal RNA, 2040 nt
Filed under: Terrilactibacillus tamarindi
Lineage: Bacteria; Bacillati; Bacillota; Bacilli; Caryophanales; Bacillaceae
Description: Bacterial large subunit ribosomal RNA
Rfam family: Bacterial large subunit ribosomal RNA
Source: Rfam by way of RNAcentral